UACAGAGGUCCCAAGCGUUGUUCGGAUUCAUUGGGCGUAAAGGGUGCGUAGGUGGCGCGCUAAGUCAGGUGUGAAAUUUCGGAGCUUAACUCCGAAACUGCAUUCGAUACUGCCGUGCUCGAGGACUGGAGAGGAGACUGGAAUUUACGGUGUAGCAGUGAAAUGCGUAGAUAUCGUAAGGAAGACCAGUGGCGAAGGCGGGUCUCUGGACAGUUCCUGACGCUGAGGCACGAAGGCCAGGGGAGCAAACGGG
RNAcentral lists this ribosomal RNA (253 nucleotides) under uncultured bacterium. RNAcentral's name for it is "partial 16S ribosomal RNA". It matches the Rfam family "Bacterial small subunit ribosomal RNA", at positions 524 to 776 of the family's 1533-position model. The record is from RNAcentral.